Molecule: small nuclear RNA, 107 nt
Organism: Capra hircus (goat)
Lineage: Eukaryota; Metazoa; Chordata; Mammalia; Artiodactyla; Bovidae
Source: Ensembl
GUGCUUGCUUUAACAGCACAUAUAGUAAAAUUGGAAUGAUACAGAGAAGAUUAGCAUGGCCCCUGUGCAAGGAUGACAUGCAAAUUCCUGAAGCAUUCCAUUUUUCU